Molecule: ribosomal RNA, 497 nt
Filed under: uncultured bacterium
Lineage: Bacteria
Description: partial 16S ribosomal RNA
Rfam family: Bacterial small subunit ribosomal RNA
Source: RNAcentral
GAUGAACGCUGGCGGCGUGCCUAAUACAUGCAAGUCGAGCGAACAGACGAGGAGCUUGCUCCUCUGACGUUAGCCGCGGACGGGUGAGUAACACGUGUAUAACCUACCUAUAAGACUGGGAUAACUUCGGGAAACCGGCGCUAAUACCGGAUAAUCUAUUGAACCGCAUGGUUCAAUAGUGAAAGACGGUUUUGCUGUCACUUAUAGAUGGAUCGGCGCCGCAUUAGCUGGUUGGUAAGGUAACGGCUUAUCAAGGCAACGAUGCGUAGCCGACCUGAGAGGGUGAUAGGCCACACGGGAGCUGAGACACGGUCCAGACGCCUACGGGAGGCAGCAGUAGGGAAUCUUCCGCAAUGGGCGAAAGCCUGACGGAGCAACGCCGCGUGAGUGAUGAAGGUCUUCGGAUCGUAAAACUCGGUUAUGAGGGAAGAACAAAUGUGUAAGGAACUAUGCACGUCUUGACGGUACCUAGUCAGAAAGCCACGGCUAACUACGUG